RNAcentral lists this ribosomal RNA (253 nucleotides) under uncultured bacterium. Its description in RNAcentral is "partial 16S ribosomal RNA". It matches the Rfam family "Bacterial small subunit ribosomal RNA", at positions 524 to 776 of the family's 1533-position model. The record is from RNAcentral.
UACGGAGGGUGCAAGCGUUAUCCGGAUUUACUGGGUUUAAAGGGUGCGUAGGUGGGUCUGUAAGUCAGUGGUGAAAUCUCCGAGCUUAACUCGGAAACUGCCAUUGAUACUAUAGAUCUUGAAUUAUCUGGAGGUAAGCGGAAUAUGUCAUGUAGCGGUGAAAUGCUUAGAUAUGACAUAGAACACCAAUUGCGAAGGCAGCUGGCUACACAAAUAUUGACACUGAGGCACGAAAGCUAGGGGAGCAAGCAGG